CAUUUAUUCACCAGGCAGAUACUUUUCAUCUUUAACUGCUACUCAGGGCCUUCAGCUCCUCACUCGCAUCGCAGAAACUCAGCAAACAUGUACUUCCAUGGUGAAGAAUUCUCACGGAUUUUUCACCAGAGAGACAGUUAAUCUUCAACUGCUGCUCAGGCGUCACUCACGCUGCAGAAACUAAGCAGGCAACAGACGGAUGCUUCAGACAGAGGGCUUGGGGCAGUACUUUUGCAGAUGGUGGAGGGGGAGGAGUGCCCGGUGCUGUACAUUAGCCGCAAGCUCUCGCUGAGGGAGAUUAAGUACAGCACCGUAGAGAAGGAGUGUCUCGCCAUCAAGUGGGCGGUCCUCACUCUCCAGUACUACAUGUUGGGGCGGGCCUUCACCCUCUGCUCGG
Long non-coding RNA from Myxocyprinus asiaticus (Chinese sucker), 397 nucleotides. RefSeq lists it as uncharacterized. The record is from RefSeq and is a predicted model, not a curated record. The transcript is spliced from 3 exons. NCBI's taxonomy places the organism in Eukaryota, Metazoa, Chordata, Actinopteri, Cypriniformes, Catostomidae.